GUGCUUGCUUUGGUAUCCUAGAUACUAAAGUUAGAACAAUACAGAGAAGAUUAGCAUGGCUCCUUUGUAAGUAAGGGAUGACAGGCAAAUUGUAAAGCCUUCCAUACUUAC
Molecule: small nuclear RNA, 111 nt
Organism: Grammomys surdaster
Lineage: Eukaryota; Metazoa; Chordata; Mammalia; Rodentia; Muridae
Source: RefSeq, a predicted model, not a curated record